Hippocampus zosterae (dwarf seahorse) is the source of this 726-nucleotide long non-coding RNA. RefSeq lists it as uncharacterized. The record is from RefSeq and is a predicted model, not a curated record. The transcript is spliced from 3 exons. NCBI's taxonomy places the organism in Eukaryota, Metazoa, Chordata, Actinopteri, Syngnathiformes, Syngnathidae.
CCCAUUUCCUGUCUGUGGUUUGAUGUAAUUCAUUUAUUCUGGAUAUGUAUUUUCUCCAUUUAGUCCAAUUUACAUCUCAAAAUGUUGUUAUAUUCUCAAUAGCAUGAUUUUCUUAUUGUUUCAGGAGAUCGGGCUCCUCAACCUGGAGCAGAUCCAGAGCAAGGUAGUCCACAGCAUCAACUUCUGGUGAGCCCUGAAUACCAAGAGACCAACGUGUCAGGAGAUGCCGCGUAGCUUGUCUCCACUGACCUACCGCCAGAAAUCACGAGUCAUCAUUCCUUCGCCACCAUGGCUGCUGUUUGCACUCAAUGAGUUGUGCAGGGUGAAAGUGAUUUUUCAGCUCAGCUGCGACUUAUCAAAUCACUGCAUGAAUUAUAAGCUACCGAUACUUUAAAUUGCGGCUGGAUGGGUAAAAGACAAAAAGGAUGCAACGUAAGCAAUCUGUGGCUUGUACAGCUAAAUUGUAAGGCCGAAUGCUUUUGAAAAAUAAACUGUGAUUUUUAAUUUUUUUUAACAACCAACCCUGCUUUAGAUGUUUCAAAUGUCACCCAAACACAAAUGCCAAGGCAAUGGACAAGCACAUUGGAGAAAAAAAAAUAGUCACGGACCAACUGUGAUGUUUUUAGUCCUGCUGUUGUAAAUUCGUUCUGAGCAUUAGGACGUGCGGCGUCCACCUGAUCCUGUGAUACACUCUUUUUCAUAAUUAAAACACUCACCACUAUGCUC